This is a long non-coding RNA of Astatotilapia calliptera (eastern happy), 4158 nucleotides long. NCBI's taxonomy places the organism in Eukaryota, Metazoa, Chordata, Actinopteri, Cichliformes, Cichlidae. The record is from Ensembl.
GGUUCUUACACACACACUGGACUUUCUGGACUUUGGUUUUGCACAACACUGGUCACUAUAUUCUUCAUUUCCGGUUAAUACUUGUACAGCUGCUGUUAUUGUGUAUAUGUUUAUUUAGAUUUCUUCAUACAUUCUUAUAUAGUUCUAUAUUGUGUAUUUUGUUGUACAGUUAUUUUAUUUUCAACUUUAAUUUAUAUAUUUUAUCUUAUUCUUUCCCAGUUAAAUUUACCCUUCAUUCUAAUUUGUGUUGUACAGUUAUUUCAUUUUUAACCUUAAUUUAUAUUUUAUUCAUUCAUAGUUAAAUUUACCCUUUUUAAUUUUUCAUAUUUAUUUCCUAUCUUAUUCAUAGCCUUUUCCUUUUUUGUUUUCUUUAGGUCACGAGCAGUUGUCCAAGCAUUUCACUACAUAUCGUACUGUGUAUGACUGUGUACGUGACAAAUAAAAAUUUGAAUUUGAAUUUGAAUUCCCCAACUCUCUGUGAAUGGUACUCAUGGCCAUUGAUCAAUGGUCAUGACAAUUUGCAUAUUAAUGAUCAAGGAACUGACCUCACAGCCCACUGUUCAUUCAGUGGGCUGGUUUCAGUUAUUGUGCUAAUGUACUGUGUAUAAGUUUGUGUUAUGGUGCUGGGUCGUUGACCCAGCGUUUUGUGUUUUAUGAUUAUUUUCCUCUGUUCUAGUUAUUCUGAUUUUGGUAUUCUGUGUCCUCCCCCCUUGUGUCCGGUUCGUGUUCUAGAUUUCCUGUUUUAUUCUGAAGGUCUCUGUCUGUUGUCAUUGUGUUCAGCUUGUGUCCUCCAGUCAUCAUGUGUAUUAGGAUCAGCUGUUCUUCCCUCCUGUGUGUGAUUACCCAAUUACCUUGUGUGUGUAUAUUUAGUGGGUGUCGGUCUGUGUUCGUUGUUGGCUCGUCUGCAUUUCUCUGUGUUCCAUGGUGUUUCGUUCCUGUGGCUCUCUGCCCCGCACCCCUUUUGUAUGCUCUUAGGUUUGUUAUGUAGUUCUCCCAGUUUAGGUUUCUUCAGUUAUUUGUCAUGCUUCACUGCUUGCUUGCCACUAUCCCACCUUGUAAAUAAACGUCACACUCUUCAUCAGUCAGCUGCCUGCAUUUUGGGUCCUUUUCAUUUCACUACACGACUGCUGCCCCAGCCGCGACAGUACGAGCCGACCAAACAUGGACCCAGCAGCAUCCGCACCUUCCCAGGAGUUUUGGGAGGAAUUAAUUGACUCUGUUUCAAGGUUGGUUAACCUGUGGCUCGAACGUGAGGGAGAGGAAUUUCACCGCGUUAUAGAAGCCAGGCUACAGCAAUUACUCUCUCCUCACCCCUGGCUACUGGACUCUCUUCACCCGCUCGCACAGGACUUCAUUCUGAACAAACUCCAUCUUCACCCUCCAGCUGCUACCGCUUCCCGACCCAGCCCGGUGGUGAAUGUUUUGCACCGCCGGCCGGGGAAUCUGCGGCCCGGCCCGCCGGAUGUGGAAUUACCCGGCCGGUCGGUGCUAUCCCUGAGAAGGAAGCGACGUUCACGCCGCCGACGCCCAUUGCCACAGCCGGGUCCCGAGACUUCUGAGUUGCCGGCUGUGGUGAGUGGAAAAGGCACUCUUUGUUUCGCCAGACCUUGUGACUGUUUAUACCGGGGCUGUGUGGUUUUUUUUUUUUUUUUUUGAGUUAGCUGCCCAGCCGGAAGCUCCGUCACAUUCAGCCUCACUACCCAUAGCCCAGUUACAGUCACAGCCAGACUUAUUACAAACUAUGUUACAGUCCAUUGCCCAGUCAAUAGCUCAGUUGGUAGAGGAAUCAUCAGCCUUAUCGUCAGCUCAGUCUCCAACUUCACCAUUAUUUUUCCAACCUUUUCCUCAGUCGCCCUCAGCUCAGCCACCUAUUCAGCCAUCAUCUUCACCUACUCCUCCAGUACAGCAAGCUAUGUCUAUUCAACCCAUAAAGAACUGUUCUACGACCUCUAAUCCUAAGCAGAGAGACAAACCACACAAUUUUGUUAUCAGUCCUCAAAAGCUGGCCAGUUCAGAGACUGUGACGCACUCCAGGGCCCCCCCAGAGGCUGAGUUUCAGCCCUCAGCCCACUCUGGACCCCUGGAGGCUAAGAACCGAGCUGAGGACUGCACCCAGCUGUCGCUGCCUGAGCAGGGUCAGUGCUCCGUGCAGCUGCAGUCAGCCAUGUGUGUGCCAGGGGGCCCUGUGCCCGCUGGUUCAGUGACUGUUUCCACUGUGGGUUCUGGAGAGCCCGGCCAGCCCGUCCUCGUCUCCGUCUCCGCUGGAGGGCCCGAGGAGCCCGUCCAGCAACCUGCUUCUUCACCUGCUUCACCCACAUCGCCUGCAGCAGCAGCAGCUGCAGCUCCGGCCUCGUCCUCGCCUGGUCCAGCCUCUGCCUUGCCUGGUGCUGCGGGGGCCACGCAGCCUUUGUGUCCCAAACUGCCGCCUCGACAUCGGCAGUCAUCUGCCAGGCUGCUUGUUGGGCGUCAUCGCCACUAUGGGCGACCUCCCGAACGCCGCUGCUAUCUUCCGCGCGGCCGGCCUCCGGACUUGCCGUUGCCGUCCGCACGGGUGGCCCCUGAAGAUGAACUGUUCUAGACUCCUGAAUUGUCAGCCUCCGGGCCGGCCUCCUGAACUAUGUUUUGGGACCCUGUUCAGGGACGUGUGUGUGUGUGUGUGUGUGUGUGUGUGUGUGUUGGGCAAUUCAUUUGGAUCACUGGAGCUUGUUUUUUGUUUGGUUUUGGAGAAGAAGAGAGUGAGCGAACGGCAGAUGAUUGUGGAGUUUGAGGAACAUGGCGUAUGUGGAUUCCCCUCCCAACCUUUCCUUGGAGCCCUGGAUUCCCCUGCCUGCACUUCAUAUAUAUCGUGCACAUUGGUGACUGUAAAUAAACCUUUGACCCUGAAAAGCCUGCGUUUGUGCCUGAGUCCGUUCCGUCCGCCUUGACAGUUACAUGUAAUACAUUUGGACAACAAUGUUAUGUCAUUAGAUCCUCGGCUUGAACAAUUUGUUUUUCUAGUAGUUUAACAAGCCCUUUUUCAGAUGAAAAUAAUGGAAAAUGUACAUUUUUUUUUCAUGCAGUGUUGCUUCCUUGAAAUGGCUCUGACUAGACCCUAACAGUUUGGUGUUACCCACUUCCACAUCAAAUAUUUGCAGAGAAAACUGGGCAUUUACUUGAAGUGGUCUUUGCCCUUUGAAAGUCCAACAUUCUCUCUAAGUUUAGCUCUGAUUUGCUUCCCGUCAGCUGCUGAGAAAAACAUCAGGCUCUUUACCUGAUAAUGUUCAUCUUUCCAGCAGUUAAUUUUUUACUUUGCCUGCCUGCUGUUUGCUCUGUGUUACAGUACUUUUAUCAAAUUUACUGGACCUUCCAACUGUUCCAACCUAAUUUAACCCCGUUUCACUUUUUCACUGUACAUAAAUGCUCUGUGUUCACUUGGAGCUUUGCCACAAAGCUUGUUUUCAACAUCUUGGAUGAGCAGGCAUUCCCUCCACUUGCGACAGACCGUCUAUGCUCUUCCUCACCAUUACUCAGCUGUGAACUCGGGUUCCUGGCUUCUUCCACCUGCUCUACGAAUCAUCCGAAGGUGAGUAGGUCCAUCACAUUCAUCUCAGGGAAUGGGACCUUCUUCAGGUAACUCAACACAUCCUUCAUCAUCGAGCAUCUCUGAAAAACCUCAUAAUUGGAGACUCACUUGUGAGGGAUUUAAGAAUAAAAGAGGUUUACUCUUUUCCAGUUUCAAUGAUUUUGCCACUUCUACACGACCUCUGUCAUAUGCUUAUCAUAUCAUUAUAUAAUCAUUUGGAUGAAAUGACAAAGACUUUAUAUACCGUGAAAAGUGAUGCUCAAGGUAAUGAAAGCACAGUGAAUGACAACCCAGCUCUGAAAUUACAUUUCAAAUUAUUCACCAGGUGAUCAUAAACAGCACUCUAAAUAUCACAGUCAAGGUAUAAUUUGUGAUAAUAUUGGUCUGUGUGAGCUGGGUUGCACAGUUUAAUUUCUAGGAAUCCACUGGGAGCGACUGAAUCAUGACACUUAAUCCUGACGAAGAAGGAAGACGUCAGCGAACACAGGAAACCAGACCACAUAUUUGCAAUGGACUUUAAAUUGAAACAAAAUUUAGACUCUGCUUUUAGAAUAACUAUGUACUGCAGUUAAACAAUUACCAUAAAAUUAGAGCUG